Molecule: ribosomal RNA, 200 nt
Filed under: uncultured bacterium
Lineage: Bacteria
Description: partial 16S ribosomal RNA
Rfam family: Bacterial small subunit ribosomal RNA
Source: RNAcentral
AGAGUUUGAUCCUGGCUCAGGAUGAACGCUGGCGGCGUGCCUAACACAUGCAAGUCGAGCGGAGUUACGCGCUGACGAAGCCUUCGGGCCUAGUCUUGUGUAACUUAGCGGCGGACGGGUGAGUAACAGGUGGAUAAUCUGCCCUUUGCUGUGGAAUAACAUCCAGAAAUGGGUGCUAAUACCGCAUAAGCCUACGAGAU